This 492-nucleotide ribosomal RNA is filed under the name uncultured bacterium. RNAcentral describes it as "partial 16S ribosomal RNA". It matches the Rfam family "Bacterial small subunit ribosomal RNA", at positions 29 to 507 of the family's 1533-position model. The record is from RNAcentral.
AGUGAACGCUGGCGGUAGGCCUAACACAUGCAAGUCGAACGGCAGCACAGUAAGAGCUUGCUCUUACGGGUGGCGAGUGGCGGACGGGUGAGGAAUACAUCGGAAUCUACUUUUUCGUGGGGGAUAACGUAGGGAAACUUACGCUAAUACCGCAUACGACCUACGGGUGAAAGCAGGGGAUCUUCUGACCUUGCGCGAGUGAAUGAGCCGAUGUCGGAUUCGCUAGUUGGCGGGGUAAAGGCCCACCAAGGCGACGAUCCGUAGCUGGUCUGAGAGGAUGAUCAGCCACCCUGGAACUGAGACACGGUCCAGACUCCUACGGGAGGCAGCAGUGGGGAAUAUUGGACAAUGGGCGCAAGCCUGAUCCAGCCAUACCGCGUGGGUGAAGAAGGCCUUCGGGUUGUAAAGCCCUUUUGUUGGGAAAGAAAAGCAGCAGGUUAAUACCCCGCUGUUCUGACGGUACCCAAAGAAUAAGCACCGGCUAACUUCGUG